UUCAGCUGUUUUCCAAGCUCAGAGAUGUGGAAAGUCACGCUUGGCUGUAAGACAGACGUGGAGGAGAGAAACAAGGGACGAUAAUCGCAGGGGAACACUCGUGGGGGGAGGUGGGUGCCUCCCGACGGCGCCACCUUCAGAAUGCACCCCCCCCCCUCCCGGAACAGCACUGUUCAUCUGAAACAGAAGAGAGUAGAAGCUGAUGAAGGGGACAGCGGCGACUUUGUGAAAAUGACACCCCAUGAAAUAAAGCCAAAGGCUCUUCACUUUCAGCUACGUGACUGUGGAUCGCUAUAGAUUACAAAUGAACGUGGAACAAUAUUACUGUAAAGAGAUUUCGGCAGUGCUGCAUAUCUGCGGAUAGUCACACGCAUGCCAAACUGUAGAUCCAACCAUUUGGGGGUUAAGGAAUGAAGUAGAGGAAUAAAAUCCCAUACUGCCCUCGUCCUGCAUCGGAAGUAGCCCUGCUCCGGGUUCAUCCUCGCGUGUUUCUGGGCGAUGGAAAUGCUCUGGAUUGUGCAAACAGCAGAGCCCAUGUGUUAUCUUAGUGGGAGCACCGUGUGCUACCUCUGUCCCCAAGUUCUCUCCCGGGACACAGAUGACAGGGAACAGAGUGCUAAGCUAAAUGCUCCAUUACCAAAUUCAAUCUGUGCGGCCACUGCAGGCGGUGAAGUGAACCUCUCAAUCAUAUUUUUUUUCCAUUUCACUGCUUUACAUUUGACAUCCUGUAUGCCACAACAAACAGGUGACUAUUAAAUGGUAUGAUUUAAUGCGACAUUUUCACUUAUGUAAUAUCAACACAUACUUGACAACAUGACUGGUGUCUGAAGUCUGUUUCGAGCUAAUUGGAUUUAACUGAUAACAAGGCCCUUCGUGUGUGGCUGUUGCUCAGCUAAGCAUUUUUUUAAAAUAUUGCAUUCAGAUGAGGUAGCAGAAUGUUCUUAUUGGUUAUUGAGCAUCAAACCGAUUUUCGUAUAAGGAAAACGAUGUGAUGAGUGUGAUCAGUCAUUGGACCAGCUGUGACUGAUUGACAGCUGGAUCCUUAGAAAAGCAUAUCAAAGAAUAAUAUGAGUCAUGGUUUGUUUUCAACGGUGGUAGCAACCAAAUUAGCCCUGGACCUCCUGCUCCCUGAAACACACACGGUACUCCCGCAUCAUUGACAGAUACAUAUCCCUAUCGUCCGUACCCAAAUCUACAUCCUUGAUGUCAGUGACGCAGGAGGGUGGAAAUUCCUGUCCCCAGAUAGCUGACACAGUGCCGUUAAGAAAUAUCACGCUAACAAAAAUGAUACAUUUGUGUAUACAUGUUCAUUCCAACUAGUAGAUUUUAAGCAAUUAAAUUGGGGAAAAUGUCAGGGUGAUAAACGCCAGAAAACAGCAAAGGACAGACAACAAGAACUCCCAGGAGGGAAGAAAGAAAAACUUUUUGGGAUUUACUGCCAAUGGUCUGUUCCAGCCCUCUGGCCGCAGGAUUGCAGAGUUUGGAGGAACAGACCAGACCCAGCACAUCCAGCUGGACCGAGCCUGGAACAGUGACACAAAGGGCCUGUCCUGGCUCCAUAAAUGGCCAGGGAACAGGGACAGAGUAUCAAAGGCUUGUACCACCCCUGGGACUCCUCCUGUUAACUCCUUGCUGAAGGUCACCCAGUUCCAGGGAAUAGAAACUCACUUAAUCACUUAUGUUGAUGUACAAACAUGACUUCACAGCUUUGCAAAUAUUAAUAAAUAUCUGAAUUUGUGGCACAACUUUAUCACAUCA
This is a long non-coding RNA of Brienomyrus brachyistius, 1758 nucleotides long. RefSeq lists it as uncharacterized. The record is from RefSeq and is a predicted model, not a curated record. The transcript is spliced from 3 exons. NCBI's taxonomy places the organism in Eukaryota, Metazoa, Chordata, Actinopteri, Osteoglossiformes, Mormyridae.